UGGGGAAUAUUGGACAAUGGGCGAAAGCCUGAUCCAGCCAUGCCGCGUGUGUGAAGAAGGUCUUCGGAUUGUAAAGCACUUUAAGUUGGGAGGAAGGGCAGUAAGCGAAUACCUUGCUGUUUUGACGUUACCGACAGAAUAAGCACCGGCUAACUCUGUGCCAGCAGCCGCGGUAAUACAGAGGGUGCAAGCGUUAAUCGGAAUUACUGGGCGUAAAGCGCGCGUAGGUGGUUCGUUAAGUUGAAUGUGAAAGCCCCGGGCUCAACCUGGGAACUGCAUCCAAAGCUGGCGAGCUAGAGUAGGGCAGAGGGUGGUGGAAUUUCCUGUGGAGCGGUGAAAUGCGUAGAUAUAGGCAGGAACACCAGUGGCGAAGGCGACCACCUGGGCUCAUACUGACACUGAGGUGGGAAAGCGUGGGGAGCAAACAGG
Molecule: ribosomal RNA, 429 nt
Filed under: Pseudomonadota bacterium
Lineage: Bacteria; Pseudomonadati; Pseudomonadota
Description: Proteobacteria bacterium partial 16S ribosomal RNA
Rfam family: Bacterial small subunit ribosomal RNA
Source: RNAcentral